GAUGAACGCUGGCGGCGUGCCUAAUACAUGCAAGUCGAGCGAACGGACGAGAAGCUUGCGUCUCUGAUGUUAGCGGCGGACGGGUGAGUAACACGUGGAUAACCUACCUAUAAGACUGGGAUAACUUCGGGAAACCGUAGCUAAUACCGGAUAAUAUUUUGAACCGCAUGGUUCAAAAGUGAAAGACGGUCUUGCUGUCACUUAUAGAUGGAUCCGCGCUGCAUUAGCUAGUUGGUAAGGUAACGGCUUACCAAGGCAACGAUGCAUAGCCGACCUGAGAGGGUGAUCAGCCACACUGGAACUGAGACACGGUCCAGACUCCUACGGGACGCAGCAGUAGGGAAUCGUCCGCAAUGGGCGAAAGCCUGACGGAGCAACGCCGCGUGAGUGAUGAAGGGCUUCGGAUCGUAAAACUCUGUUAUUAGGGAAGAACAUUUGUGUAAGUAACUGUGCACAUCUUGACGGUACCGAAUCAGAAAGCCCCGGCUAACUACGUG
Molecule: ribosomal RNA, 497 nt
Filed under: uncultured bacterium
Lineage: Bacteria
Description: partial 16S ribosomal RNA
Rfam family: Bacterial small subunit ribosomal RNA
Source: RNAcentral